Molecule: non-coding RNA, 46 nt
Organism: Schistosoma mansoni
Lineage: Eukaryota; Metazoa; Platyhelminthes; Trematoda; Strigeidida; Schistosomatidae
Source: Rfam
GCACUGCUGAAGAGUUCCAUAAUGGGACGAAACGGCCGUCCAGUGC